This is a long non-coding RNA of Zonotrichia leucophrys gambelii, 693 nucleotides long. RefSeq lists it as uncharacterized. The transcript is spliced from 4 exons. Lineage: Eukaryota; Metazoa; Chordata; Aves; Passeriformes; Passerellidae. The record is from RefSeq and is a predicted model, not a curated record.
UGCAACCUGAGCUCAGUGUAAAGCCUCCUUCUCCUUCCAGAGAUGGGAAGUUAACACAAAUCUGCAAAUUCACACAAAUCUGGUAUUGUGAGUGUUCCUGCAACAAGGUAUCAUGGAACAGGACUUCUUUUCAGUCUGGAGAUACAAGUCUUGAGAUUCUAGUCUUACUGACCUUGCACUGACAACCAGCCAGCUAAUUCUGAUUGACCAGUAUCAUCUUCACAAAGAAAUGAUGAUUUCAAGACCCUUUUUCUCCAGAAUCAGUCAAAAGCUGCUGAAAGUUCUGUCCUGGUAUGGAGUGUGUCUCUCAGAGUCCAGAGCCUUUGGUUACCUUUCACAGAGUGACCCAGAGCCCAGCAUGGGAUGGUUAUUGCCCAAAAGAAGACCAGUGCAGGUUGUGGGAGCACCCAGUUGUUUCUGACUGCUCAGUGUGGGGAUCUCUGCUCCAAAAGUAUCCAGGAAAAGGCUUCUGCUGCCGACCAUCUGCAGCUGCUGUCGGUCAGGCAUUGAUCUGACCUCUGAGGGACAGAAAUUCAUUCUGUUCCCUGCCUGCUCGUUCAAGGCUUUUUAUCCUGGCAUUUAAAUUGGAUUUUAUUCAAUUUUAUUUAAAUCCACUGUAUCAACACUUAAUGAACAGAAGCCCUCCCACUCUGCUCUGUGGCAUCCCAUUGUAUAGCAGCCUUUUAUUCUUGU